RNAcentral lists this long non-coding RNA (2080 nucleotides) under Mus musculus (house mouse). RNAcentral's name for it is "long non-coding RNA chr16:91830042-91832122". The record is from RNAcentral. Lineage: Eukaryota; Metazoa; Chordata; Mammalia; Rodentia; Muridae.
GGGGCUGUGUUGACUGAGGUUUUUUUGUUUCUGGAAUUCCUCUGAAAUCUGCGGAAACCAAAAAAGAAAUGAGACAACUGAGAGACUGCGUUAGCAUUUAGUUUCUCUGUGAUCUCCUGCUGUUUCUCUUUAUGUCCACCACGCUGGAAAAUACAAAGCGGUUUUCCCCUGACUUUAGAGCAUGUGUUCAAUAGCAAGCAAAAUUUCUGUAGGAACUAGACCAGAAGGAGCCUCGGCCUGACCCUUGGCGUUUCUGCAGCAGACAGCAGUGCUUCCGGGGCAUCUGCACAAAUGCUGUAAGAUGCACUCCUCCCGUUCCCAGAGAGGUGCCGUGCCGGCGCGGUCACCCACGGGUGCACAGCUGCUCUUUUCUCAAAGGCCCCGGCAGUAAGUCAGGGUUCAGCAGAUUCAUUUCAUGUUCGUGGAGGUUAUGCACUCCCAGGCAAGAAGACAGAGCUGUUGGCCGGCCUUAGCUGCUAACAACACUUUAAGGAGAGUUGCCUGGGACGCCACGCCCACGUGAAGCAGCUGACUGUGGGCGUGCAUGGAUCCGGUGAGGAUCGCUGCCCCGUGUCACUCGCCGGCCUCACCGCACUACACACGGCUUCCUUUUGUAGGUAUAAAUGCAUUUUGUUUUGACUGAGACAAUAAAGACUGAGGAUUUUAUAGUCUUUCUAUACACACAUAAUCACAGAAUCUACUUUUAUUCUUUUCCCUAGACUCAUUCUUCCGCUAAAGGUCUUACCCAUUUUCUUUACCCUGGGAAGAAUUAGCUUUUUAUCUUAUCUGAUAAGCUAGGGAAAGUCUUGAGUUUUCAUCUAAAAUGAGGACAGAAUCUUGCUGUAGGCAGACAGCAGGCCUUUGUUUCAUAUUGGAACCAGAAUAUUAAAACUUAUAGCAACAGCUCAGUGAUAGACCAUUUGCCUACCAUGAAUGAGACCAUAGGUUUAAUCCCACUGCAAAAUAAAUAAUAAGUUAGCAUACUUAGAAUCACAGCACUGCUGGCAACUUUGGGUUUAACACAUGACCUCAAAUCCGCGACCUUCACCCUUCAUUCUGCGCUCUUAGAAAUGUGAGACUCUUGCUCCAUUUCACAGAGGCUAUUUUCCAUGCAUUUAUCAGAUGGAGACAACUAUAGCCAGUGGUAGUCUGAGCAAGGUUCACCCGGUUCCCACACGGUCUCUACAUAGGACUCAAGAUGGGCCUAGUUCUGCAUUGCCCCCAAGACAAGAAUCUCACUGUAGCAGUUACACUUUGCUAUCGUCUCAUAAAGGAAAGUUGGUGAGGCAGACAUACAACACCCUGACAUAGAGGCUCCUUCCUGUGCUGGAGAUUCCUGACUUGACAUGCCUAAAAUUCAAGACUUGAAAGAUUUGAUGGGAACUUUAAGAAUUAAACUCUGGAUGGGGUCAAGCAAACCAUCUAACCAGUAUACUAGCCAAGAGCAGAUUUUGAUAGUGAGUAUUGCUACUAAAUUGCUAUUAUUUCUCUCCCCUCCCCUCGUUUAUUUGUAUAUUUGUUUAUUUAUUUUUAGAGACAGGGUUUCUUUGUGUAGCCUUGAUUGUCCUAGAACUCACUCUGCCCUGCCUCUGCCUCUGGAGUGCUGGAAUUUAAUUCACCACACCAGUAUGCCCAGCUAAAUUACUAUUUAGCAUCUUCAUUCAGUGACCAAAUUUAUUUACCAUAAAUUUGUUUAUAAAAUGUAUCUUACAUACAACCAACACAUCUCAAACUCAUGCUCUUGAAAUAUCAUUUUAAACUUUUAAAUCUAUAGCUUUCUUGUUACACCUCAUUUUACAGAAAAUCAGGUUUCAGCUUUUUUCAACAAGCUGAGUUGUCUAAAGGGCACAUGGGGCAGGCUGUAGUCCCUGGGGCUCUGUAGUUUACAGGGCUGAGAGAUGUCAACGUUGUGCAGAGUGUCAGAGGACACCGUGAAGAAGCCUUCCUGGGACCUCUCUUGUCCUUGGCAGUGGUGGCCCCAUAAGGGACAAAUAUCUGUCUGCUUCAAGUUUGCCACCUCACUUUGCUCAACAUGAAAUUUUAUUCUUAUUUCCACCUAGAAUAAUAAAAAUCCUUUAAC